UNCGUGCCAGCAGCCGCGGUAAUACGUAGGGCGCGAGCGUUGUCCGGAUUUAUUGGGCGUAAAGAGCUCGUAGGUGGUUCGUCGCGUCUGUCGUGAAAGCCAGCAGCUUAACUGUUGGUCUGCGGUGGGUACGGGCGGGCUUGAGUGCGGUAGGGGUGACUGGAAUUCCUGGUGUAGCGGUGGAAUGCGCAGAUAUCAGGAGGAACACCGAUGGCGAAGGCAGGUCACUGGGCCGUUACUGACACUGAGGAGCGAAAGCGUGGGGAGCGAACAGGAUUAGAUACCCUGGUAGUCCACGCUGUAAACGUUGGGAACUAGGUGUGRGGAUGCUAUCCU
RNAcentral lists this ribosomal RNA (336 nucleotides) under Mobiluncus curtisii. RNAcentral's name for it is "bacterial SSU rRNA". The record is from RNAcentral. Lineage: Bacteria; Bacillati; Actinomycetota; Actinomycetes; Actinomycetales; Actinomycetaceae.